AUUGAACGCUAGCGGCAGGCCUAACACAUGCAAGUCGAACGAGUGGCGGGCGGGUGGGUAAUGUCUGGGAAACUAACUGAUCGAUGGGUGUGACUACUGGAAACGGUAGCUAGUACCGCAUCCCAGUCGGUGUUGCCAGAUGGUAUUAGCUAGUAGGUGGGGUAACGGCUCACCUCGGCGAAGAUCCCUAGCUGGGCGGAGAUGAUGACCAGCCACACUGGAACUGAGCCAAGGGCCAGACCCCUACGGUAGGCAGCAGUGGGGAAUAUUGCACAAGGGGCGCAAGCCUGACGUAGCCAUGCCGCGUGUAUGAAGAAGGCCUGCCGGUUGUAAAGUUCUUUCAGCGUUGAGGCGUUACCAGAAGAAGAAGGACCGGCUAACUCCGUGCCAGCAGCCGCGGUAAUAC
Molecule: ribosomal RNA, 406 nt
Filed under: uncultured bacterium
Lineage: Bacteria
Description: partial 16S ribosomal RNA
Rfam family: Bacterial small subunit ribosomal RNA
Source: RNAcentral